This 491-nucleotide ribosomal RNA is filed under the name uncultured Sphingobacteriales bacterium. RNAcentral describes it as "bacterial SSU rRNA". It matches the Rfam family "Bacterial small subunit ribosomal RNA", at positions 888 to 1382 of the family's 1533-position model. Lineage: Bacteria; Pseudomonadati; Bacteroidota; Sphingobacteriia; Sphingobacteriales. The record is from RNAcentral.
GCUACAGAAACUCAAAGGAAUUGACGGGGGCCCGCACAAGCGGAGGAGCAUGUGGUUUAAUUCGAUGAUACGCGAGGAACCUUACCUGGGCUCGAACGUAAGAUGACUGUAGGUGAAAGCUUACAUCUCUUCGGAGCAUUUUACGAGGUGCUGCAUGGUUGUCGUCAGCUCGUGCCGUGAGGUGUCGGGUUAAGUCCCAUAACGAGCGCAACCCUACCUUUAGUUGCCAUCAGGUAAUGCUGGGGACUCUAAAGGAACUGCCUACGCAAGUAGUGAGGAAGGCGGGGAUGACGUCAAAUCAGCACGGCCCUUACGUCCAGGGCUACACACGUGCUACAAUGGCCGAUACAGAGGGCAGCUACCUGGUGACAGGAUGCAAAUCUCCAAAGUCGGUCUCAGUUCGGAUCGGAGUCUGCAACCCGACUCCGUGAAGUUGGAUUCGCUAGUAAUCGCGCAUCAGCCAUGGCGCGGUGAAUACGUUCCCGGGCCUU